This is a non-coding RNA of Equus caballus (horse), 5743 nucleotides long. The record is from RefSeq and is a predicted model, not a curated record. Lineage: Eukaryota; Metazoa; Chordata; Mammalia; Perissodactyla; Equidae.
AGAAAAAUACCGGAAAAAGUUUGCCUUAAUAAAAUGAAUCGGACUUAAGCAGGAUAGUCACUAUCCUUGCAUAUACAAGCCAAUGGAAAGAUUAAGCCAUCCUACGGAGCUAUGACUGAAUUUAGCACACGAUACAAACACAGCAGCAAAGCAACAUUGAGUCAUAGUGAGUAACAUCUUAAUACCACCCUGUAAUUUAAAAGAGAAUUAUAUAUAUACAAUAUAUAUGUGUUGAUAUUUAGGGUGAUUAGGUAGAUAGAUAGACGAGGUAGACAGAUAGAUGGAUUCUAUUUAACUCUUAGGAAACCCAGUUAUGAUGUAGCUGCUAAACUGAGAAGAAACAUCGAAUCUGAAAGUUUUCUUUAUCUGGAAUAAGUAGCGAAGCAAUGGACUUGCUCCUGCUCAUCUGUCCUUUGCGAGCAAAGCAGGAACUAUGGAUGUAGGAACAGUUAAUACCAUCAUGUGUCUUUUGCUCCAUAGUGGGUAUCUAUGACUGGAAGGUCCACACACCUUAAUUUAGGGCAGGUGCACUGCGAAUUUGACCAUAGGUAUCCAAGUUUUCCCAACUCAACUAAAAAGUGAGACCUCAUCUGUUCAAUGCAACAUUGCAAAAAUAUUGCCGAAUUUUUUGCAACAAAAGAAAACUCGUAUUUAUUUCUGCCUCUGACUAUACUUUUAAUUAUAUUUAGAAUAGUAAAUUUCAAAUUUGAUGUGAUUGCUUGGGACUCUGGUAAGAGAGAAGUCAGAGACCUGGGCUCAGAGCCACCCUGGAGCCCUGGGUUUCUCCCAGGUAAAGUAGGAGCAGGGAUUUCUGAUGGUGGAGUUUACAGUGAUGAAUUAAGACAGUGAGGACACCUCGGCACACCUUCCCCCUCCUGCUUUCUUUGUAUCCUUAUUCAACCACUUCCAGGUUAAUCAAAAUAAAACCAAUCUGCAUAGGAUUGAACAUGCAAAAGGAAAAUCACCAGAGUCUCUCAGUCAGUCAUUUCUUUCAUUGGUAAACUAAAUUACCUUCCAGAAAUAGUUUGUUUAUAGAACUAUUAAGAAAAAAUUAUUUCUAUUAUUGGCAGUUCAAAAAUAGAGAUGUACUGAAACUAUUUAUGAACCUUUAAAAAGUUAAAUGAUAAGCUUUUCCUUAAUGAAAAAGAUUUGUCAAAGGAAAUGUGUCUUAUUUGUCCUCCUUUUAAUUAAGCAAAUGUGUAUUAUUAGUACAUACAUUUCAAAAUAAAGACAUUUCCCAAACAGAUGAGUAAAGCUUAUGUAACAUGUUUUGAUUUAAGUAAUUGUCUGUCAAAAGGUAAUUUGCUCUCUAUUUUAUUUGAUUUAUCUUAGUAUUCUAAUUGAGCUAUAUCUUAAAAUUUAGAAAAUAUUUAGGUGCAAGACCACCAAAGACGAAACAUUUCAUAGAACCCUUUUAAUAAACAUGUAUUUUAGGUAAAUUUUAAGAAUAUUUACAAUAUUAAUUAAUGGCAAGUAAUAUAAAAAAUAGUUCAAACCAAAGUACGCAGACUAAAACAACUUAGUUUAAAAAGUAUUUUCUCCUGUGAUGAUGGUAAGAUCUCUCUGUAAAAUAUAUUAUGCCCUCUCCAAAAUGAGCACGUUGAAAUUUUUCAAAAGAACACAGUAAAAAUUAGAGUUUAUGUCUGUGUGCAUCUGUGCAGGGCCUGGAGUUUUCAAGUCUCCACAGAGCGGCCAUGACUUUGCAGUAAGAGCCAGACGGCAAUAACAGCUACCCUUCAGGGUCGUAAUUAGAUCAAAUAUAAGCAAACGUUUUCUUCAAUCUAAAGCACUGUGUGGGGCAGAAGGUGUAACAAGGACUGGGAUGGUUGGAACGCGUGCCUGCCUUUUCCUGACAUAAAGAUGCUACCAGAGCACAUUUCACUUUGGGGUAUUACACAGAACUAUUUAGCCCCUCUCUCUGCCCUGUAAUUGUAUCCCUGCCGUGAUAGCGACUAGAUGGCCCCGGAAGGUCAGACCAUCUGGAAAUAGGAAACCCCCUACCGAGGUGCUGAAAUCCACUUGGAGAGCAGUUAGCACACGGCAGGGUUUGAGAGCAGGGCAGUGAGUAUAAAUCAGGGCAGAAUCUUAAGCAGAGCUGUUCGUAUUCCUUCCAUUUUUAAAAUGCUGUUUCUGUUUUGUUAGAGAAGACGAAAUGAAAAUAUUAGAGAAGUUAUUCGUAUCAUUUUCGUGCAACACGUAGCAUUUUUUUCAGACAUACACAUUGUCUUAAAAACGCUCUUGAGCAUGUCUCCUGCGAGCUAGAGUGUUUGGAUUCUUUCCUUUCUCUUGCUGUUUCUUAAUUGCCUGUUUCUUCAGGUUCGUUGCUCUAAAUUGUUGCUAGGAGCAACGCCCACUCAGCGGGAAGGUUCGAAGCGAGCCGGCGUCCCUAGAGACAAGCCAUUUGUUCCUCGGUUCCUCUUGGCACUCACACGCUAAGAACACCCUGCGUCUCCAGGGAGGAAGAGCACAGACCACCUGCCACGGGAAGCAUCUGCUGAGGUUCUUGUCAAAGACACCUCUGAAGGAACUUGCCACUUGAGAUUCCAGUCGCCACACCUCUGCACAAAGUUAUUCCUUUAGCUUAUUUUUGAAGAAAAGUCAAAUGGGAGGCUUCAAACCCAAAGCAUAUUAUUUAAUGCAGCCUCCAGGCCUUCAGCAAAAGUAACAUAGUCAAAUAUUAGGAUUUAUAGUUAAGGUUAAUUCUUAAAAGCACCUACAGGUAUGAGAGCAUCAUACCUAUAGGUGUGACGAGUGAGGGCUCUGCACACAGGUGGGAGGGCUGCCCCUGGGAGCCCUUGAGAAGCGUGUUGCUGUCCUGCUCCUGCAGAAGCGGCACUGGUCAGCUGUGUUUCACAAGGAGUGGUCAUCACCAGAAAGUUACUGAUUGUCUUUACCAUCAUUGAAAAUAGAUGUUUCUAUUUUUUUUGAAAAUGAAUAUUUUAAGAAUCAUUGAUGGAUUCCCAUUGUCUGUAGGAUGAAGCUACCCAGCAUUGAAGACAUUUUAAGCUCUGGCCUCCUUCAGGUUUCCAGCCCACUUAAGACCACCUCCUCGAACACUCCCUAAGGGCAAGCAGCAAGAAGUUCCCGGCACAGAGCUCCUAAAACCUUUGGAAUUUCCUGCAUGAUGGGAGUACCUUUUGUCAUUCAUAAGGAGCCCUUGGGAUCACACCUGAGUUUCUUUCAAUGAGGUGACUUAGGGUAGGCCCCCAGAUAGCCUCAGGAUGGGGCUGGUCACUAGAAAGAACUCUUGAACAACAAGGUUUGAUGACCUUCCAGGUUGGUGAAUGCAUCCACAUGCCAGGAGGGCGGUGCCUCCCAGUUGCAGGGGGACAGAAGCUCCUGUGCUCAGGAUCCUUCAAGAUCUUGCCCUGGGUACCUCUUCACCUGGCUGUUCAUCUGCAUCGCUUACCGUAUCCUUUAAAAUAAACUGGUAGAUUUAAGUAAAUGUUUCCCUGAGUUUUGUGAGCUGUUCUAACAAAUGAUUGAAACUGAGGAAGGGAAUCUCUGAUUUAUUAUCACCAGGAGAUAUAAAUAUAUUCCCAGAGAUUCUUGGGAAUCUCUGAUUUAUAUCGCCAGUCAGUCAGAAGUACACGACAAUCUAGAUUUGCAUUGGUGUCUGAAGUGGGGCAGUCUUGUGUGACUGAGUCCUUGACCUGUGGGAUCUGACAAUAACAUCAGGUAGUUAGCAUCGGAAUUGAGUUAAGUUGUAGGACACCGAGCUGGUGUCCGCAGAGAAUGGGAAAAUUGCUUGGUGGUGUUGGAAAACAUCCCAGAUUCUCAUUCACUUUUCUUAAAUUAAGAUAAAUUUCCGACAAAGAAGCAUUAAUCUGCCUAAGAUGCUAACUUUCAAGGAAUAAACUACUUCCAUUGUUCUCAAGGAACAAUCAAUUACCCUAAAAGUGGUGAUAAUAUUCAAAUCAGAACUUCUGAAAGUGUGGCAAUGACAUUAGGAAAGUGGGACUGACAGGAAAUACAAUUUUUCAUCAAAAAUUUAUUGGGGGUUGGCCCCCACUUGAGCCCAAUCAAAUCAAUCUAAUAACAGAAAAGUACUGGAAGAAAGAUUAUAAUUAAGCACUUAGGAUUAAGCAUUUCAUAAAAGUCAUCUGAGUCUCUACCUCUUUUUUUUAAAUAUUGAGGUGUUUAGGGAGUGAUACUCUCUAAGGUAACUCUAGUUUGUUUUAAACAAAUUGACUCCUGAGCUGAACCAGAAGAGAACUGGGUCAUCCUGUGUAGCCCAGUAGGGGGUGGGAAGCUCAGGCCUGAGUAGAGAGAAAGGGUCCUAUUGGCAGAAUGCCGCCUACAAAUGUGUGCAUGGGCCAAAGUAAUUUAGAGGCUGACGCCCAUGUUGUGUUGAUUCACUCUGCUCUUGGAUUGUCAUGAAUUAAUUUUAUUUAAAUAAAAUUUAUGUUAAUCUUGGGAGAAUAACACAAUAAAGGCAUUUUCUGUUUUUGAAAUAGCUCAUUAGAUAAAUAUUCAUGCUUUCUUCCCUCAUCAACGAAGACCACUUUUGCUUAAAUUCACCCAUUCUAAAAAAUUUAAGGCUGUGUUUCUUGGGAUUAAAAUGUGCCUUAAAAAUGUGAAGAUUUGCUCAGUUAAUUUUUAUAUAAAAUGGCAAAUGAUGAACAUUUUAUAUCCACCUCCUACCUUGAGAAAAAAAUCCACAAGUAGAUCAUUGUUGCUGAUAUAACAAGGUACCGACACUGAUUUUUCCAAGAAAAUAACGUCUUCAGUGUCCUGACUUAGCACCCAAGUGAGGGACCAUAGAGGCAGACUUCCAGUGACCCCUACAGCAGCGGGGUCCUGCUUGUGUUUACAGCAGCCAGCGCACCAACUGGGGGGCUCUGCCUCUAAGGUGGAAUUUCCCCACACCCACUGGCUCUCAUCUAAGUACAAUUUGAAAGUAAAUUUUUUUAAGAAAUAAUCUAAGUUAUUACACUUCUUUAAUGAUAAUUCAUUCCAGAUUUUCUUCAGAUGUUGAAAUUUGUUCCCCUCUCUCAGGGUCACUGGGCUUCUGUCUCAUUAUCUAAGGAGAAUGCACGGAGUUUCCUUCUGAAAGAAUCAAUUCGCAGGUGUGAGCACUUGCAAAAUCAGUACUAUCGCAAUGCAAAGAAAAUUGCCUCUUAUAAGGUAGAUAAUUAAAAUUAUAAAACUCUUAGAAUAAGAAUUCACUUCAUAGUCACUGAAUCUCUACAACAAUUCCAUAAACAGACCAGAGAAAUGAUCCUCCUUACAUGUGAUGUCCUGGGAUUAGCGACUUGCCCAGGGGCACUUGACAGAGUCUACACUGAGACUCAGGAUCUCUCUACCUAGAUUUUGGCCCUUUUGAGUGCUUCACAAUCCUUAAUGAAUGGCAACACUCAAAUUCUUUGAAAGGACAGAGUCCCAUUCUUUAAAGAAACUAAACGUGCAUUGUGAUUUUAAAGUGAUGAAAUAAAAACUACUUUAGUUUGGAAAGCUUUUUGAUAGGCAAACCAAUGACACUUCCAGCUUAUAUUGAGCCACUUUAGUUUAUUUAUAUUUUUCCCAAGUCUUUUUUCUUCCAAUCAUACUUGAGCUUUCUAAAUGAUAUUUUAAAAGUGAUCUAAUUAUACUCAAAUCAAUUGAAACAGUAGAUUCAGCCUCUAAUUUUGUUCUGUUAUUGUAUAUUGUCUAUGUUAUUGCAUAUGGUCCAUGUAUUUUAAAGUCAUGUAAAAUACAAAAUGUGUGCAUUUUAUGGUAUACAAUAUAUGUGCAUUUCAAUGUU